CAUUAAAACACCGGUUCUCCUACGACCAUCGAAGUUAAGCAACGUCGAGCCUGGUGAAUACCUAGAUGGGUAACCGCUUGUGAAUGUCAGCUGCUGUAAG
Molecule: non-coding RNA, 100 nt
Organism: Acanthosepion pharaonis
Lineage: Eukaryota; Metazoa; Mollusca; Cephalopoda; Sepiida; Sepiidae
Source: the annotation of a GenBank genome assembly